This 216-nucleotide long non-coding RNA is filed under the name Olea europaea (common olive). Its description in RNAcentral is "long non-coding RNA (OEUR_LNC000250)". The record is from RNAcentral. Lineage: Eukaryota; Viridiplantae; Streptophyta; Magnoliopsida; Lamiales; Oleaceae.
GCCUCAUGGCUAUGUCAUAAUAGAUCCGAACACUUGCCCCGGAUCGACUUCCAGAUCCUAAUUGCUCUAGUGAAUAACUAAAGAAAAUAGAUAAAUGGGAGAUAGAAGAGAAACAAACUAAUUAUAGAAAUAUCUUUUAAAGGUUUACUAAUUAUUUGACUGUUGCGGGUCUCUUUGUAUGUGUUGUCCGGAAAGAGGAGGACUCAAUGAUUAUUC